Molecule: ribosomal RNA, 441 nt
Filed under: uncultured bacterium
Lineage: Bacteria
Description: partial 16S ribosomal RNA
Rfam family: Bacterial small subunit ribosomal RNA
Source: RNAcentral
CCUACGGGAGGCAGCAGUGGGGGAUAUUGCACAAUGGGGGAAACCCUGAUGCAGCGACGCCGCGUGAGUGAAGAAGUAUUUCGGUAUGUAAAGCUCUAUCAGCAGGGAAGAAAAUGACAGUACGUGACCAAGAAGCCCCGGCUAACUACGUGCCAGCAGCCGCGGUCAUACGUAGGGGGCAAGCGUUAUCCAGAUUUACUGUGUGUAAAGGGAGCGUCAACGGUUAUGUAAGAAUGGAGUGAAAGCCCGGGGCCCAACCCCGGGACUGCUUUGGAAGCUGUGUAACUGGAGUACAGGAGGGGCAGGCGGAAUUCCUGGUGGAGCGGUGAAAUGCGUAGAUAUCAGGAGGGACACCGGCGGCGAAGGCGGCCUGCUGGACUGAAACUGACGUUGAGGCUCGAAAGCGUGGGGGGCAAACAGGAUUGGAUACCCCUUGUAGUC